This 253-nucleotide ribosomal RNA is filed under the name uncultured bacterium. RNAcentral describes it as "partial 16S ribosomal RNA". It matches the Rfam family "Bacterial small subunit ribosomal RNA", at positions 524 to 776 of the family's 1533-position model. The record is from RNAcentral.
UACGUAGGGGGCUAGCGUUGUCCGGAAUCAUUGGGCGUAAAGCGCGUGUAGGCGGUCCGGUAAGUCCGCUGUGAAAGUCGAGGGCUCAACCCUCGAAUGCCGGUGGAUACUGUCGGGCUAGAGUACGGAAGAGGCGAGUGGAAUUCCUGGUGUAGCGGUGAAAUGCGCAGAUAUCGGGAGGAACACCAACGGCGAAGGCAGCUUGCUGGGACGGUACUGACGCUGAGACGCGAAAGCGUGGGGAGCGAACAGG